UAUGAGAAGUGACUGAAAUCCUUCUUUUCUCCACCGUGGUUUUUUUUCAGUUCCUAUGAAAAUUUGCAGUUCCCUCCUUUGGAUGUCAAGUGCAUCAGGACAUGCUAGUUCCCAACAACACUGUCAUACACAGCAGAACAAAAGUUCUGCGUUUGAUGGGGAUACAGGAGCUGAAAAGGGACAAGAGAGACAUGAAUAAUCUGCACUGCCUGAACAGAAGCAGGAGUGGGUUCCUGAACUGUGUCUUGCAGGAAGGGAAGCCAUGGUGAACAAGCCAGUGGGGUGGGUGACUGCUGUUUCUUCAGAGGUGAAAUCAUCCUCAUCCAAAUCAAAGAGUUUCACUUAUGAACCMUGGAAAAUUCAGAUACAUUUUUCCAAAGUCAGAAGACCUCUAGGAGUUUGUGCUCCUUGAAAGUCAGGAUAUGGUCCUGAUGGCCAGCAUGGAAACAGGAGGAUUCUGCAUCYGAGAGCCUGUGUGGGAAGGCUCAAAUAAUCCCCUUCAGUCAUUUCCCAUGGCUUCAGAAUUCAAGAAGUAAUUUGCAUUUGUCUAAAUUCCUGUAUGUGCUUAUAAGCCCUGGCUGCAUUUCCUGGUGGAAGAUCAGACGUGAAGCCUCUGCUGCACCACCUUACUGAUGGAGGAACGUCUUGUGGGUUUUUGGGAGCUGACUGCAGUCUAUGUCCACAUGCCUUUAAGCCCCUCCUAAUAAUUCUUGGUUUGCUUUCUAACAAAAUCAUUCUCUUGCUUUGGCUUCCUCUGCACUGAGAAGUCAUAAAUAAGAAAAUCAUGGRGGUAUGAGAGGAGUAAGGGACACUUUGCUGAAGUAUUGGUGGGAGUAUGUUCAGCUUGUUACACCUGGUUAAAUAGAAAUAUCCCACAUGUUCUUAUCCAUGAGAAGAAUUAGAGAGGAAUUAGCCAGGAAUCUGAAAUUGAAACUCUGCUGAAAGUCUGCUGUGUCUGUGUUAUAUAAGGAAUGAAGGUAGUCACUUACAAACCCCAAACCUAAGUAUGGUGAUGGCAAUCAGAGAGUGAAAUAAACUCAUUGAUUCYUGUUCUUAAUGUAAGUGUGUCCUUACCAGAAAAUAUCAAUGAGCUCAGCAAACAGACUCUACCAGGUGAAUUGUCCAGAAAACAAACUCCUUUUUGCUGCCACAUGAGUGGGGU
Molecule: long non-coding RNA, 1162 nt
Organism: Malurus melanocephalus (red-backed fairy wren)
Lineage: Eukaryota; Metazoa; Chordata; Aves; Passeriformes; Maluridae
Exons: 4
Source: RefSeq, a predicted model, not a curated record